RNAcentral lists this ribosomal RNA (423 nucleotides) under uncultured bacterium. RNAcentral's name for it is "partial 16S ribosomal RNA". It matches the Rfam family "Bacterial small subunit ribosomal RNA", at positions 360 to 775 of the family's 1533-position model. The record is from RNAcentral.
AAUUUUGUACAAUGGGGGCAACCCUGAUCCAGCCAUCCCGCGUGUGCGAUGAAGGCCUUCGGGUUGUUAUGCACUUUUGGCAGGGUAGAAAAGGCGCCGGAUCAUACCUGGCGCAGCUGACGGUACCUGCAGACUAAGCACCGGCUAACUACGUUCCAGCAGCCGCGGGAACACGUAGGGUGCAAGCGUUAAUCGGAAUUACUGGGAGUAAAGCGUGCGCAGGCGGUUCGGAAAGAAAGAUGUGAAAUCCCAGGGCUUAACCUUGGAACUGCAUUUUUAACUGCCGGGCUAGAGUAUGUCAGAGGGGGGUAGAAUUCCACGUGUAGCAGUGAAAUGCGUAGAGAUGUGGAGGAAUACCGAUGGCGAAGGCAGCCCCCUGGGAUAAUACUGACGCUCAUGCACGAAAGCGUGGGGAGCAAACAG